CAGUCUUCAGCUCAGGCCAGGCCUGGGGAACCAAGAGUGGGGGGUCACAGACAGGAUCCCCCUCCCCCGGAAAAUCUCCACCCUACCAGAGCCUCCUCCUUCCUGGGCUCCUCCAUCUCCCAAUGUAGGCUAAUUCCAGAUGAAGUCCGGUUCCCAUUCUGAGCGCCCCCUCCGCUGCAGAACUUGACCUUGUGGUGGGAGGUGAAUGCCGGCGCAGGGAGGAGGACGCUGUUACAGUGAACGAAGAUCAUGCUGCAAAGGAGCUAGCACAGAGCCUGGUACUCAUUUCCACAUCCGUGAAAUGGGCAUAAUAAUGGUAGCUGCCUCGUGGGGAUCAGACGAGUUAAGACGCAGAAAGUGAUGGAACAGCACCUGGAACAGAGGAGGAGCUCAGUCAACGGUAGCUGCUCUAAUUCUCUUCUUCUGAGGUUAAGAG
This 436-nucleotide long non-coding RNA is filed under the name Equus caballus (horse). RNAcentral describes it as "lncRNA (ENSECAG00000050377.1)". The record is from RNAcentral. Lineage: Eukaryota; Metazoa; Chordata; Mammalia; Perissodactyla; Equidae.